This 252-nucleotide ribosomal RNA is filed under the name uncultured bacterium. Its description in RNAcentral is "partial 16S ribosomal RNA". It matches the Rfam family "Bacterial small subunit ribosomal RNA", at positions 524 to 776 of the family's 1533-position model. The record is from RNAcentral.
UACGUAGGUGCCGAGCGUUAUCCGGAUUUAUUGGGCGUAAAGCGAGCGCAGGCGGUUAGAUAAGUCUGAAGUGAAAGGCCGUGGCUUAACCAUAGUAUGCCUUGGGAACUGUUUAACUUGAGUGCAGAAGGGGAGAGUGGAAUUCCAUGUGUAGCGGUGAAAUGCGUAGAGAUAUGGAGGAACACCGGUGGCGAAAGCGGCUCUCUGGUCAGUAACUGACGCUGAGGCUCGAAAGCGUGGGGAGCAAACAGG